Rhea pennata is the source of this 394-nucleotide long non-coding RNA. RefSeq lists it as uncharacterized. The record is from RefSeq and is a predicted model, not a curated record. NCBI's taxonomy places the organism in Eukaryota, Metazoa, Chordata, Aves, Rheiformes, Rheidae. The transcript has 3 exons.
UGGCUUUUGUUCAAGGACUCAAAAGCGCUCCCUCAGUGCCAUAGGAAUAGCAGUGGCAGCGCAGAAACCACUGCAGCUGGGGAAGUGUUGAUGCCCAUGUUGGAAGAGGGAACUGAUCCUGCUGGAAACUGACUUCCGAAAGAAAAUUGCUACAUGGACGCUAGAAGUGACAGGAGCAAAGGUGUGGGGAAAAGCAGCAACACGGCUGGGGAGGAGAGUGGUCCCACUUGUUGCACCGCCGGCUCCGGGGUAGUCUGGCUUCUCAUUCUUUCGGGGCUAAUGCACUUGCUGCCUGGACAUUCCCUGGAGAGUCUUUCAGGACCUGAUCGCCUUUCACAUGCACGCUCUGCAGUUUAAAACACACGAGAAUUCUUCAUAAAUUUAUGGCUUGACA